This 500-nucleotide ribosomal RNA is filed under the name uncultured bacterium. Its description in RNAcentral is "partial 16S ribosomal RNA". It matches the Rfam family "Bacterial small subunit ribosomal RNA", at positions 30 to 523 of the family's 1533-position model. The record is from RNAcentral.
AUUGAACGCUGGCGGCAUGCCUUACACAUGCAAGUCGAACGGCAGCACGGGAGCAAUCCUGGUGGCGAGUGGCGAACGGGUGAGUAAUAUAUCGGAACGUGCCCAGUCGUGGGGGAUAACGCAGCGAAAGCUGUGCUAAUACCGCAUACGAUCUAAGGAUGAAAGCGGGGGAUCGCAAGACCUCGCGCGAUUGGAGCGGCCGAUAUCAGAUUAGCUAGUUGGUGGGGUAAAGGCCCACCAAGGCGACGAGCUGUAGCUGGUCUGAGAGGACGACCAGCCACACUGGAACUGAGACACGGUCCAGACUCCUACGGGAGGCAGCAGUGGGGAAUUUUGGACAAUGGGCGCAAGCCUGAUCCAGCAAUGCCGCGUGCAGGAUGAAGGCCUUCGGGUUGUAAACUGCUUUUGUACGGAACGAAACGGCCCUUUCUAAUACAGGGGGCUAAUGACGGUACCGUAAGAAUAAGCACCGGGUAACUACGUGCCAGCAGCCGCCGUAA